This 253-nucleotide ribosomal RNA is filed under the name uncultured bacterium. RNAcentral's name for it is "partial 16S ribosomal RNA". It matches the Rfam family "Bacterial small subunit ribosomal RNA", at positions 524 to 776 of the family's 1533-position model. The record is from RNAcentral.
UACGUAGGGGGCGAGCGUUGUCCGGAGUUACUGGGCGUAAAGCGCUUGUAGGCGGUCCACCAAGUUUGGGGUGACAGUUGCCGACUUAAUCGGCAAAGUGCCUCAAAGACUGGCGGACUUGAGGGCCACAGAGGGACAUGGAACUCCAGGUGUAGUGGUGAAGUGCGUAGAUAUCUGGAAGAACACCAGUGGCGAAGGCGACUUACUGGACACAUAUUGACGCUGAGGUGCGAAAGCGUGGGGAGCAAACAGG